Molecule: ribosomal RNA, 717 nt
Filed under: uncultured bacterium
Lineage: Bacteria
Description: bacterial SSU rRNA
Rfam family: Bacterial small subunit ribosomal RNA
Source: RNAcentral
CAUGCAAGUCGAGCGGUAGCACAGAGAGCUUGCUCUCGGGUGACGAGCGGCGGACGGGUGAGUAAUGUCUGGGAAACUGCCUGAUGGAGGGGGAUAACUACUGGAAACGGUAGCUAAUACCGCAUAACGUCGCAAGACCAAAGUGGGGGACCUUCGGGCCUCAUGCCAUCAGAUGUGCCCAGAUGGGAUUAGCUAGUAGGUGGGGUAAUGGCUCACCUAGGCGACGAUCCCUAGCUGGUCUGAGAGGAUGACCAGCCACACUGGAACUGAGACACGGUCCAGACUCCUACGGGAGGCAGCAGUGGGGAAUAUUGCACAAUGGGCGCAAGCCUGAUGCAGCCAUGCCGCGUGUAUGAAGAAGGCCUUCGGGUUGUAAAGUACUUUCAGCGAGGAGGAAGGCAUUAAGGUUAAUAACCUUAGUGAUUGACGUUACUCGCAGAAGAAGCACCGGCUAACUCCGUGCCAGCAGCCGCGGUAAUACGGAGGGUGCAAGCGUUAAUCGGAAUUACUGGGCGUAAAGCGCACGCAGGCGGUUUGUUAAGUCAGAUGUGAAAUCCCCGGGCUCAACCUGGGAACUGCAUUUGAAACUGGCAAGCUUGAGUCUUGUAGAGGGGGGUAGAAUUCCAGGUGUAGCGGUGAAAUGCGUAGAGAUCUGGAGGAAUACCGGUGGCGAAGGCGGCCCCCUGGACAAAGACUGACGCUCAGGUGCGAAAGCGU